GAUGAACGCUGGCGGCGUGCCUAAUACAUGCAAGUCGAGCGAACGGACGAGAAGCUUGCUUCUCUGAUGUUAGCGGCGGACGGGUGAGUAACACGUGGAUAACCUACCUAUAAGACUGGGAUAACUUCGGGAAACCGGAGCUAAUACCGGUUAAUAUUUUGAACCGCAUGGUUCAAAAGUGAAAGACGGUCUUGCUGUCACUUAUAGAUGGAUCCGCGCUGCAUUAGCUAGUUGGUAAGGUAACGGCUUACCAAGGCAACGAUGCAUAGCCGACCUGAGAGGGUGAUCAGCCACACUGGAACUGAGACACGGUCCAGACUCCUACGGGAGGCAGCAGUAGGGAAUCUUCCGCAAUGGGCGAAAGCCUGACGGAGCAACGCCGCGUGAGUGAUGAAGGUCUUCGGAUCGUAAAACUCUGUUAUUAGGGAAGAACAUAUGUGUAAGUAACUGUGCACAUCUUGACGGUACCUAAUCAGAAAGCCACGGCUAACUACGUG
This 497-nucleotide ribosomal RNA is filed under the name uncultured bacterium. RNAcentral describes it as "partial 16S ribosomal RNA". It matches the Rfam family "Bacterial small subunit ribosomal RNA", at positions 28 to 507 of the family's 1533-position model. The record is from RNAcentral.